GAUGAACGCUAGCUACAGGCUUAACACAUGCAAGUCGCGGGGCAGCAUGGGGGUUGCUUGCAAUCCCCGAUGGCGACCGGCGCACGGGUGAGUAACGCGUAUCCAACCUGCCCUUCACCACGGGAUAACCCGGCGAAAGUCGGACUAAUACCGUAUGUUGUCCAUUGACGGCAUCCGAUUUGGACGAAAGGCUUGGCGGUGAGGGAUGGGGAUGCGUCCGAUUAGCCAGACGGCGGGGUAACGGCCCACCGUGGCUACGAUCGGUAGGGGUUCUGAGAGGAAGGUCCCCCACACUGGAACUGAGACACGGUCCAGACUCCUACGGGAGGCAGCAGUGAGGAAUAUUGGUCAAUGGGCGUAAGCCUGAACCGGCCAAGUAGCGUGCAGGAGGACGGCCCUAUGGGUUGUAAACUGCUUUUAUGCGGGGAUAAAGUGGCCCACGUGUGGGCUUUUGCAGGUACCGCAUGAAUAAGGACCGGCUAAUUCCGUG
Molecule: ribosomal RNA, 490 nt
Filed under: uncultured bacterium
Lineage: Bacteria
Description: partial 16S ribosomal RNA
Rfam family: Bacterial small subunit ribosomal RNA
Source: RNAcentral